This 253-nucleotide ribosomal RNA is filed under the name uncultured bacterium. RNAcentral's name for it is "partial 16S ribosomal RNA". It matches the Rfam family "Bacterial small subunit ribosomal RNA", at positions 524 to 776 of the family's 1533-position model. The record is from RNAcentral.
UACAGAGGUCCCAAGCGUUGUUCGGAUUCACUGGGCGUAAAGGGUGCGUAGGUGGUGAGGUAAGUCGGAUGUGAAAUCUCCGAGCUCAACUCGGAAACUGCAUUGGAAAUUACCUUGCUCGAGGGUUGGAGGGGGGACUGGAAUGCUUGGUGUAGCAGUGAAAUGCGUAGAUAUCAAGCGGAACACCAGUGGCGAAGGCGAGUCCCUGGACAACUCCUGACACUGAUGCACGAAAGCUAGGGGAGCAAACAGG